UACAGAGGUCUCGAGCGUUAGGCGGAAUCACUGGGCUUAAAGCGUGUGUAGGUGGAUCGUUAAGUACCUUGUGAAAUCCCACGGCUUAACCGUGGAACUGCUCGGUAUACUGGCGGUCUUGAGCCACUUAGGGGCUACCGGAACAAAUGGUGGAGCGGUGAAAUGCGUAGAUAUCAUUUGGAACGCCAAUGGUGAAAACAGGUAGCUGGGAGUGUGCUGACACUGAGACACGAAAGCCAGGGGAGCAAACGGG
This 253-nucleotide ribosomal RNA is filed under the name uncultured bacterium. RNAcentral's name for it is "partial 16S ribosomal RNA". It matches the Rfam family "Bacterial small subunit ribosomal RNA", at positions 524 to 776 of the family's 1533-position model. The record is from RNAcentral.